AGCAGCCGCGGUAAUUCCAGCUCCAAUAGCGUAUAUUAAAGUUGUUGCAGUUAAAAAGCUCGUAGUUGAAUUUCGAGAUCAAAUUGUUGGUCGUGCCUCGGUACGUACUGGUAAUUUUGGUUUCUCCCUUCUGAAGAACCAUGAUGUCAUUAGUUUGGUGUCUUGGGGAAUCAGGACUGUUACUUUGAAAAAAUUGAGUGUUUAAAGCAGGCUCGCGCUUGAAUACAUUAGCAUGGAAUAAUGAAAUAGGACGUUUGAUUCUAUUUUGUUGGUUUCUAGGAUCGACGUAAUGAUUAAUAGGGAUAGUUGGGGCAUUAGUAUUCAAUUGUCAGAGGU
This 336-nucleotide ribosomal RNA is filed under the name uncultured Glomus. RNAcentral's name for it is "SSU rRNA". It matches the Rfam family "Eukaryotic small subunit ribosomal RNA", at positions 569 to 912 of the family's 1831-position model. Lineage: Eukaryota; Fungi; Glomeromycota; Glomeromycetes; Glomerales; Glomeraceae. The record is from RNAcentral.